GGAAGACGUCCUGAAGCGAAAGCUAUUGCCAAGUCUGUCUUCUUUAAUCAAGAACGAAAGUCAGAGGUUCGAAGGCGAUUAGAUACCGCCCUAGUUCUGACCGUAAACUAUGCCAUCUCGCGAUUCGGUAAGGUAAUUUUUUGCCUUGCCGAGGAGCGUCCCGGAAACGAAAGAUUUUCGGUUCCGGGGGUAGUAUGGUUGCAAAGCUGAAACUUAAAGAAAUUGACGGAAGGGCACCACCAGGAGUGGAGCCUGCGGCUUAAUUUGACUCAACACGGGAAAACUCACCCGGUCCGGACACCGUUAGGAUUGACAGAUUGAAAGCUCUUUCUCGAUUUGGUGGUUGGUGGUGCAUGGCCGUUCUUAGUUGGUGGAGUGAUUUGUCUGGUUUAUUCCGAUAACGAGCGAGACUCUAGCCUACUAAAUAGUUGGCAGGUUCUUGAGCCUGUUUCAACUUCUUAGAGGGAUAAGCGGUGUCGAAGCCGCACGAGAUUGAGCGAUAACAGGUCUGUGAUGCCCUUAGAUGUCCGGGGCUGCACGCGCGCUACACUGGAAGACUCGAUUGGUCCACCGGUGCCGAAAGGUACUGGUAAUCCGUUGAAACUCUUCCGUGACCGGGAUCGGGAAUUGUAAUUAUUUCCCUUGAACGAGAAUUCUAGUAAGUGUGAGUCAUCAGCUCACGCU
This is a ribosomal RNA of 684 nucleotides. It matches the Rfam family "Eukaryotic small subunit ribosomal RNA", at positions 930 to 1642 of the family's 1831-position model.